AACUGAUACUACCUGCGGGAACCUGCGGAAGGAUCAUUACCGAGUGAGGGUCUUUUCAGGCCCAACCUCCCACCCGUGUCUAUUUUGUACCUUGUUGCUUCGGCGGGCCAACCGGCUUUGAUCGGUUGCGCCACGGAAAGGUGGGAUUUCUAUCCCAAGCCAAACUUUUCCGGGCUUUGCGCUCGCCGGAGACCUCCAACAUGAACACUUUUUGAGAAGUUUGCAGUCUGAGUUCGAUUG
This 240-nucleotide unclassified non-coding RNA is filed under the name soil metagenome. RNAcentral describes it as "partial contains 5.8S ribosomal RNA, internal transcribed spacer 2, and large subunit ribosomal RNA". The record is from RNAcentral.